Molecule: ribosomal RNA, 456 nt
Filed under: Bacillus pumilus
Lineage: Bacteria; Bacillati; Bacillota; Bacilli; Caryophanales; Bacillaceae
Description: bacterial SSU rRNA
Rfam family: Bacterial small subunit ribosomal RNA
Source: RNAcentral
UCGAGCGGCAGAAGGGAGCUUGCUCCCGGAUGUUAGCGGCGGCGGGUGAGUAACACGUGGGUAACCUGCCUGUAAGACUGGGAUAACUCCGGGAAACCGGAGCUAAUACCGGAUAGUUCCUUGAACCGCAUGGUUCAAGGAUGAAAGACGGUUUCGGCUGUCACUUACAGAUGGACCCGCGGCGCAUUAGCUAGUUGGUGAGGUAACGGCUCACCAAGGCGACGAUGCGUAGCCGACCUGAGAGGGUGAUCGGCCACACUGGGACUGAGACACGGCCCAGACUCCUACGGGAGGCAGCAGUAGGGAAUCUUCCGCAAUGGACGAAAGUCUGACGGAGCAACGCCGCGUGAGUGAUGAAGGUUUUCGGAUCGUAAAGCUCUGUUGUUAGGGAAAACAAGUGCAAGAGUAACUGCUUGCACCUUGACGGUACCUAACCAGAAAGCCACGGCUAACUAC